RNAcentral lists this microRNA precursor (202 nucleotides) under Oryza rufipogon (brownbeard rice). RNAcentral describes it as "MIR812 microRNA precursor family". It matches the Rfam family "MIR812 microRNA precursor family". Lineage: Eukaryota; Viridiplantae; Streptophyta; Magnoliopsida; Poales; Poaceae. The record is from Rfam by way of RNAcentral.
AAUAGAUGAUACUGUUGACUUUUUGUUGCACGUUUGACCAUUCGUCUUAUUCAAAAAAUGUACGUAAUUAUAAUUUAUUUUGUUACGAGUUGUUUUAUCACUCAAAAUACUUUAAGCAUGAUUUAUAUCUGGCAUUUGCAAAAAAAAAUUGAAUGAGACGAAUGGUCAAAUGUGCGACAAAAAGUCAACGGCGUCAUCUAUU